GGCCACCCUCUGUGGGGCGAUUGAUGGGGGGACUCCACAAUUGAUUGCCCCGCAGAGGGAGACC
Molecule: microRNA precursor, 64 nt
Filed under: Myotis brandtii (Brandt's bat)
Lineage: Eukaryota; Metazoa; Chordata; Mammalia; Chiroptera; Vespertilionidae
Description: mir-9242 microRNA precursor family
Rfam family: mir-9242 microRNA precursor family
Source: Rfam by way of RNAcentral